Molecule: ribosomal RNA, 246 nt
Filed under: uncultured bacterium
Lineage: Bacteria
Description: partial 16S ribosomal RNA
Rfam family: Bacterial small subunit ribosomal RNA
Source: RNAcentral
UAUGGCGACCGGCGCACGGGUGAGUAACACGUAUCCAACCUGCCGAUGACUCGGGGAUAGCCUUUCGAAAGAAAGAUUAAUACCCGAUGGCAUAGUUCUUCCGCAUGGUAGAACUAUUAAAGAGUUUCGGUCAUCGAUGGGGAUGCGUUCCAUUAGGUUGUUGGCGGGGUAACGGCCCACCAAGCCUUCGAUGGAUAGGGGUUCUGAGAGGAAGGUCCCCCACAUUGGAACUGAGACACGGUCCAA